ACCCAAGCCACAAAUGUGCUACGGAAGUUAGUGUUACUUCCAUGCAAAGAGGACUUUGCUGGCAUGCCAUCACUCCAUUUGUAGGAUGUGAGGCACCUGUAAAAUAAAAAAAUAAGAGUUUAACAAUUAUCUGUAAAAAGUUCAAUGUUUGCUGUCGUCAAAUUUCCAAAUGAAGAGGACAGUUUAGCUGUCAUCUCUGAAGCCUGGUGCACCAAGGAGGGAUGCUACUGGCCUCCAUAUAAGAGCCAUGAGAGGAUCAAGAGGGCAGUGAUGCAGCAUGAAAAGCCAAACAGAGACACAUGGGAGAUACACCCAUUUGAUUUACUAAAAAUAAAAGAUAUAUAUGACAAGGCCCAUGAAUGCUUGAUUUGGGCCGAAAAGGGCUCCAGCAUUGAAACAGAGCCAGAGUCGCAUUAGUGGAAGAGAAAGUAUUAUUGUUUAAGAUAAAUGGAACCCAAACCAUACACUAGCCUCUAAUCAUUCCCAGGCUAAAUCCUAAAUUUGACCAGACGGAUUCUGAGGAGUCUGAUGAUGGUGACUAUAAUCAGCUCCCACCACCACCAAAGCCCCCCACAUUUGCCCCCAAAAGGGUCGUUUGUACAGCUCAAGCGGCAACCUCCCCCAGUCUCUCAUGAAGCCAAUACGGAAGUAACUUCCUAGGGACCCUGUCCCCGCUAGGGACAGGCUCCAAAAG
Long non-coding RNA from Megalobrama amblycephala (Wuchang bream), 694 nucleotides. RefSeq lists it as uncharacterized. The transcript has 3 exons. The record is from RefSeq and is a predicted model, not a curated record. Lineage: Eukaryota; Metazoa; Chordata; Actinopteri; Cypriniformes; Xenocyprididae.